RNAcentral lists this ribosomal RNA (468 nucleotides) under uncultured bacterium. RNAcentral describes it as "partial 16S ribosomal RNA". It matches the Rfam family "Bacterial small subunit ribosomal RNA", at positions 28 to 507 of the family's 1533-position model. The record is from RNAcentral.
GACGAACGCUGGCGGCGUGCUUAACACAUGCAAGUCGAACGGAAAGGCCCUGCUUUUGUGGGGUGCUCGAGUGGCGAACGGGUGAGUAACACGUGAGUAACCUGCCCUUGACUUUGGGAUAACUUCAGGAAACUGGGGCUAAUACCGGAUAGGAGCUCCUGCUGCAUGGUGGGGGUUGGAAAGUUUCGGCGGUUGGGGAUGGACUCGCGGCUUAUCAGCUUGUUGGUGGGGUAGUGGCUUACCAAGGCUUUGACGGGUAGCCGGCCUGAGAGGGUGACCGGCCACAUUGGGACUGAGAGACGGCCCAGACUCCUAAGGGAGGCAGCAGUGGGGAAUAUUGCACAAUGGGCGGAAGCCUGAUGCAGCAACGCCGCGUGCGGGAUGACGGCCUUCGGGUUGUAAACCGCUUUCGCCUGUGACGAAGCGUGAGUGACGGUAAUGGGUAAAGAAGCACCGGCUAACUACGUG